AUGGAGUGACCUCUGUCUUUCAGUCCUCUGGGAGGAUGCGGCUCUCACUGGCUCUCGUCCCGCAGCGGACUGUCACCUCAGAUGGCCUCACUGAGGCAAAUGCCGUGCUCCCUGCCUGACGCGUAGAAGAAUAAUUAGAGUGCUGUCCAGCAUGAAAGGAAACUGUGACAGACUGUCAACAACAGAUGUUUGAGCCAUUUUAACAUUGGUUUCUCCUUGUCUUUUACAAAUGCAGUACAGUACAGGGGUUGUUAAGAGAGGACCUUUGGCACCAGUUUUCCAGGUACAAAUCUUGAUGUUUAGCACUUACCAUGAUAGUUGUAUGACCUUAGGCAAAUUACACAACACCUCUGUGCCUCAGUUUUCUCACCUGUAAAAUGGGGGGAGUGAUUAUAAUAGUACCCCCUUUCAUGGGGUUGCUCUGAGGAUUAAAUAAACUAAUGAUACUGA
This is a long non-coding RNA of Lemur catta (Ring-tailed lemur), 450 nucleotides long. RefSeq lists it as uncharacterized. The record is from RefSeq and is a predicted model, not a curated record. The transcript has 3 exons. NCBI's taxonomy places the organism in Eukaryota, Metazoa, Chordata, Mammalia, Primates, Lemuridae.